UACGUAGGGUGCAAGCGUUGUCCGGAAUUACUGGGCGUAAAGCGUGCGUAGACGGUUAUUUAAGUCGGGUGUGAAAGCCCCGGGCUCAACCUGGGAAUUGCAUUCGAGACUGAAUAGCUAGGGUACGGUAGAGGGAAGUGGAAUUUCCGGUGUAGCGGUGAAAUGCGUAGAUAUCGGAAGGAACAUCAGUGGCGAAAGCGACUUCCUGGACCAGUACCGACGUUCAGGCACGAAAGCGUGGGGAGCAAACAGG
RNAcentral lists this ribosomal RNA (253 nucleotides) under uncultured bacterium. RNAcentral's name for it is "partial 16S ribosomal RNA". It matches the Rfam family "Bacterial small subunit ribosomal RNA", at positions 524 to 776 of the family's 1533-position model. The record is from RNAcentral.